GUUCUUGUAGUUAAGAUUCUUUAACAAUAGUUUUUCGAGCUGUAGACCUUGGAGAGAAACCAAGCAAGAAUAUG
RNAcentral lists this transfer RNA (74 nucleotides) under Buceros rhinoceros silvestris. RNAcentral describes it as "tRNA-Glu". It matches the Rfam family "tRNA". Rfam says of the family: Transfer RNA (tRNA) molecules are approximately 80 nucleotides in length. Their secondary structure includes four short double-helical elements and three loops (D, anti-codon, and T loops). Lineage: Eukaryota; Metazoa; Chordata; Aves; Bucerotiformes; Bucerotidae. The record is from RNAcentral.